UUGAGUAGUAUUUUUCAAAAC
Molecule: non-coding RNA, 21 nt
Filed under: Caenorhabditis elegans
Lineage: Eukaryota; Metazoa; Nematoda; Chromadorea; Rhabditida; Rhabditidae
Source: RNAcentral